UACGGAGGGGGCUAGCGUUGUUCGGAAUUACUGGGCGUAAAGCGUGCGUAGGCGGUUCGUUAAGUUCGUUGUGAAAGCCCCGGGCUCAACCUGGGAAUGGCAAUGGAAACUGGCGGGCUGGAGUAUGGCAGAGGGGGGUGGAAUUCCGCGUGUAGCAGUGAAAUGCGUAGAGAUGCGGAGGAACACCGAUGGCGAAGGCAGCCCCCUGGGCCAAUACUGACGCUGAGGCGCGAAAGCGUGGGGAGCAAACAGG
Molecule: ribosomal RNA, 253 nt
Filed under: uncultured bacterium
Lineage: Bacteria
Description: partial 16S ribosomal RNA
Rfam family: Bacterial small subunit ribosomal RNA
Source: RNAcentral